ACCCGCUGAACUUAAGCAUAUCAAUAAGCGGAGGAAAAGAAACCAACAGGGAUUGCCCUAGUAACGGCGAGUGAAGCGGCAACAGCUCAAAUUUGAAAUCUGGCCCUCGGGUCCGAGUUGUAAUUUGUAGAGGAUGCUUUUGGCGCGGUGCCUUUCGAGUUCCUUGGAACAGGACGCCUUAGAGGGUGAGAGCCCCGUACGAUUGGACACCUAGCCUCUGUAAAGCUCCUUCGACGAGUCGAGUAGUUUGGGAAUGCUGCUCUAAAUGGGAGGUAAAUUUCUUCUAAAGCUAAAUACCGGCCAGAGACCGAUAGCGCACAAGUAGAGUGAUCGAAAGAUGAAAAGUACUUUGAAAAGAGGGUUAAAUAGCACGUGAAAUUGUUGAAAGGGAAGCGUUUGUGACCAGACCUUGGCCGGGCGGAUCAUCCGGUGUUCCUCACCGGUGCACUUCGCCCGGCCUAGGCCAGCAUCGGUUUUCGUAGGGGGAUAAAGGCCCCGGGAACGUAGCUCCCUCCGGGGAGUGUUAUAGCCCGGGACGCAAUACCCCUGCGGGGACCGAGGUUCGCGCUCCGGCAAGGAUGCUGGCGUAAUGGUCAUCAACGACCCGUCUUGAACACGGACC
This 622-nucleotide ribosomal RNA is filed under the name Alloperoneutypa diminutispora. RNAcentral describes it as "eukaryotic LSU rRNA". It matches the Rfam family "Eukaryotic large subunit ribosomal RNA", at positions 23 to 667 of the family's 3401-position model. The record is from RNAcentral. Lineage: Eukaryota; Fungi; Ascomycota; Sordariomycetes; Xylariales; Diatrypaceae.